GACGGGACCCGCACAAGCGGUGGAUGAUGUGGAUUAAUUCGAUGCAACGCGAAAACCUUACCUACCCUUGACAUGUCCGGAAUCCCGAAGAGAUUUGGGAGUGCUCGCAAGAGAACCGGAACACAGGUGCUGCAUGGCUGUCGUCAGCUCGUGUCGUGAGAUGUUGGGUUAAGUCUCGCAACGAGCGCAACCCUUGUCAUUAGUUGCCAUCAUUUGGUUGGGCACUCUAAUGAGACUGCCGGUGACAAACCGGAGGAAGGUGGGGAUGACGUCAAGUCCUCAUGGCCCUUAUGGGUAGGGCUUCACACGUCAUACAAUGGUCGGUACAGAGGGUUGCCAACCCGCGAGGGGGAGCUAAUCCCACAAAGCCGAUCGUAGUCCGGAUCGCAGUCUGCAACUCGACUGCGUGAAGUCGGAAUCGCUAGUAAUCGUGGAUCAGCAUGUCACGGUGAAUACGUUCCCGGGUCUU
Molecule: ribosomal RNA, 469 nt
Filed under: uncultured Rhodocyclaceae bacterium
Lineage: Bacteria; Pseudomonadati; Pseudomonadota; Betaproteobacteria; Rhodocyclales; Rhodocyclaceae
Description: bacterial SSU rRNA
Rfam family: Bacterial small subunit ribosomal RNA
Source: RNAcentral